GACGAACGCUGGCGGCGUGCUUAACACAUGCAAGUCGAACGGAAAGGCCCUUCUUUUUUGGGGUGCUCGAGUGGCGAACGGGUGAGUAACACGUGAGUAACCUGCCCUUGACUUUGGUAUAACUUCAGGAAACUGGGGCUAAUACCGGAUAGGAGCUCCUGCUGCAUUGUGGGGGUUGGAAUGUUUCGGCGGUUGGGGAUGGACUCGCGGCUUUUCAGCUUGUUGGUGGGGUAGUGGCUUACCAAGGCUUUGAAGGGUAGCCGGCCUGAGAGGGUGACCGGCCACAUUGGGACUGAGAUACGGGCCAGAAGCCUAGGGGAGGCAGCAGUGGGGAAAAUUGCACAGUGGGCGGAAGGCUGAUGCAGCAACGCCGCGUGCGGGAUGAAGGCCUUCGGGUUGUAAACCGCUUUCGCCUGUGACGAAGCGUGAGUGACGGUAAUGGGUAAAGAAGCACCGGCUAACUACGUG
This 468-nucleotide ribosomal RNA is filed under the name uncultured bacterium. Its description in RNAcentral is "partial 16S ribosomal RNA". It matches the Rfam family "Bacterial small subunit ribosomal RNA", at positions 28 to 507 of the family's 1533-position model. The record is from RNAcentral.